This 24-nucleotide microRNA is filed under the name Amborella trichopoda. RNAcentral's name for it is "atr-miR8575". The record is from miRBase by way of RNAcentral. Lineage: Eukaryota; Viridiplantae; Streptophyta; Magnoliopsida; Amborellales; Amborellaceae.
AGAUGUGUCGUGUCUGAAAGGUCA